This 164-nucleotide ribosomal RNA is filed under the name uncultured bacterium. RNAcentral's name for it is "partial 16S ribosomal RNA". It matches the Rfam family "Bacterial small subunit ribosomal RNA", at positions 355 to 511 of the family's 1533-position model. The record is from RNAcentral.
UAGGGAAUCUUCCACAAUGGACGAAAGUCUGAUGGAGCAACGCCGCGUGAGUGAAGAAGGGUUUCGGCUCGUAAAACUCUGUUGUUAAAGAAGAACAUAUCUGAGAGUAACUGUUCAGGUAUUGACGGUAUUUAACCAGAAAGCCACGACUAACUACGUGCCUG